This 491-nucleotide ribosomal RNA is filed under the name uncultured bacterium. RNAcentral's name for it is "bacterial SSU rRNA". It matches the Rfam family "Bacterial small subunit ribosomal RNA", at positions 15 to 518 of the family's 1533-position model. The record is from RNAcentral.
GAUCCUGGCUCAGGAUGAACGCUGGCGGCGUGCUUAACACAUGCAAGUCGAACGAACGGAGGAGAGCUUGCUCUCCAAAGUUAGUGGCGGACGGGUGAGUAACGCGUGGGUAACCUGCCCUAUGCAGGGGGAUAACGUUUGGAAACGAACGCUAAUACCGCAUAAACUAUCGGAAGCUGCAUGGCUUCUAUAGCAAAGAUUUAUCGGCAUAGGAUGGACCCGCGUUGGAUUAGCUAGUUGGUGAGAUAACAGCCCACCAAGGCGACGAUCCAUAGCCGGCCUGAGAGGGUGAACGGCCACAUUGGGACUGAGACACGGCCCAAACUCCUACGGGAGGCAGCAGUGGGGAAUAUUGCACAAUGGGCGCAAGCCUGAUGCAGCAACGCCGCGUGAAGGAAGAAGGUCUUCGGAUUGUAAACUUCUAUCAGUAGGGAAGAAUAAAUGACGGUACCUAACUAAGAAGCUCCGGCUAACUACGUGCCAGCAGCCGC